AAAGAGAGAACUUUGUGAGUGUUAGACUUAUGAAGAUUAGGUGGUUAGGGAUACAUGUCUAUAUUGUAGAGUUUUGUAGGUCUAUUUUUUUUGUCUUGUUUUUAUCUAAUGUGAGCUUAUUCUGCAAACUAAUCUUAUUUUUUGAGUUUAUUCUGCAAACUAGUUUGUUUGUGUAAGUUAUUUCAGGUAUCAUUGACGAAUCAGGAAAGGCAAAAUGAGCAACUGAAAAGAGUAGCUUCGCUACAAGUAAGAAAGUUUCUACAACAAAGGCUUAUUCUUUUGUAUGAUCCAAGACUUUAGGCUAUGAAGAUUAGUUAUUUUAUUGUAUGUAAUACAGGUUAUGUAUGUUUUGUAUAAUGAAUGUUUUUGAUAAUUUAUGCAAUAAAAAAAAAAUUAUAUAAAUCCAAUUGAAUAAAUAUUGCAAAACAGGGAUCAAAUAUACAAAUUAUAUAUAAAUCAAAUUAAAUUUAUAAAACAAAAAACAAAUGCUACAAUACUAUAUAAUACAACAUUAAAUGUGUGUUACAAUAAAGUAUAUAAUAGCAUUCGAUUAGCACUAUAAUAGAUCGACAUUUCAUAGCAUAUCGACAACCGCUAUCGUAUGUGGGGGUCUAUAAUAACUGGGGCAGAAACAGCGUUUAUGAAAACGCUAUUAAUGACAUAUUAUAGCUUUUCUCUCAUGCUAAUAAUGUAGAUUUUUCUUGUAGUGGUAAAUGCUCCAUCAACCAUAUGUGCAUUAAAUAUAAAUCGAUCUUAUCCAUCAAUAAAAUCGAUGAAACCAUUAAAGGUAAAACUAUUUUGGAUAAAUUUUUGAUGUAUAUUCAUAAUUCAGUUAUAAACAUUACGAAUUUGUUUUUUUGUUUUGAGGAUUUUUUAUAUUAUCAAGUAAAGUUACAUGAUGUGGAUAUAGACCAUCUCAUAUUGUCACAAUUUUGUUUCUAUCUUACCCACAUUAAAAUUAGAAAGUGUUAUACACUCUUCCGAUGGAUAUAGAUAAAUUAUUAAAAUUCAAUAAUACACAUAUAAACAUUUAUUAAAUAUCAUACUGUAACAUAUAAUAAACAAAACUACAAAAAGUAUUUUAUAUUACACAUUAUGCAUAAUUAAUCUAUAUUUAACAAAUCAUUAAAAUACUACAUUUUCUAAAAUUAAAACAUAUUUUUAUAUAAUUUUAGUUUAACUUACAAAAAUAAAAAUUGAAAAUAACAAUUUCGAUCGGUAACCCGUGCGUUGCACGGGUCUAUAUCUAGUUAUUCUAUAAACAAGAAAUUAUUAUAUCAAACUCGUUGCAUGUAUUACACAACACAUCAUGCGUCUAAGAUUCACAUAGUCAACUCUUCUAACUUCUAAGCCUGAACGAGAAUGAAUAUGGUUUCAAGAAACCAUAUCAGCCGAUGUAUUAUGAUUUAUGACGAAGGCCUAAAGGUAAAAAGAAAAACUUAGUAUUAUAAUUGUUAGUAAAUCUCAUAUUUAAUUCCAUUCAUUGAAAAUACUAAACUAAGACACAAAUGUGGAUUUGGUUUUUAUAAUAGGAGAGAAGAGAGGUAUUGAAUGAGAAAAUCGGCGAACUCAAUUCAGCCAUUGACAUUUGUCGCUUCGAAGCGGUAUAAACAAGAUGUUAAUGAAUACCCUGCGAAAUAUAUGAAAACAAAAUCAAUUUACAAAAAUUACCCGCAGCAUAGCGGCAAACCAAAUGUUAUUGAUUAAUUGAUUAUUAUUAGUGAUCUAUUAAUUUAUAUUUUGAAUAAACGUGAUCUCACUCUAACUCAAAAGACUUGAUCUUCUAUGUUCCAAAACCUAUUGGUGGAUAUAAUAUCGUAGAAAGACAAGGAGAAUCUGGGAUUCCAAAGAAAAUUUUCGACCGCUUGACUUCUAUUUUUUUUUUCUCUGGCGACCAAGUAAUGGAGAAACUGAUAAGUGAAUCUCAAGAAAUAUAUAUUUGUAAACUUAUGGUCAAUGAUGCAAAAAGUGAAACUUGAAUAGUUGUGAUCAUUGAUGUAAAGUUAUUUGGAUCACAGGUAGGUUGUGUUUUACAAACAAAGUGUUUUUCACUAAAUCCAUUCUUAAAGCUCCAUGCCUCCAUCAUAUAUGGAAGAUUUUGAGGAGAGAUCUUAGGGCAAAAUUAGCAAAUGGGUUGUGAUGAUUUAAACCAAAAAGCAAAUUAAAAGAUGGUUUCAAUGUGUAUAUUCAAUAUACAUACAAAUUUUUGACCCCAAAAGGAAACAAAAUCAUACGAACCAUUGUGUUUUAUACCAAGCCCGACCCUUCACACAUUUUAGUGAAACAUUUGUAUUGGGCCUCGAAAAUUUGAGGCCCAUUUUGUGAGGAUUUCUUUUUUUCUUAGGCCCUAUGAUUAGUAAAAUAGGUUUCAAAAUUAGUAAAAUAAGCUUCAAAAUUAACAAAAGGCCCUAUAAUUAGCAAAAAGGUCUCAUACUUAGCAAAAAAUCCUAUUAUUAGCAAGCAAUGUCCAAAUAUUAAGAAAAAUUGUUAAAUAAAAAUUAUAAAUGCCCCAUAAUUAGCAAAAAAUAUAUUUUUAUCAGUUUUUACAUUUUAAAAAGGUCUCAAAUUCUGUAUUCGGCCCCGGAUUUUACCGGACCAGAUUUAGUUGUUAUUGUGUUAUUGUUGGUCUUGCUUGAUUCAUGUAAUGAGCGUUUGUGAUGAAGGUGGUUUCUUUUUUGGUUUCAUGUAACUCGUGCUGGAGAAAACAACAGACUUUUUUUCAUAAAAUAAAAGACUUAGAAACUACCAUUUAACUAUCCUUCUAAUAGUGAUAGUAUGAAGAAAAUCCUUAGUGAUCGGCUUUAAAUGAUGAAUGAGAGUUAUCUAGUGGCAAAUUUAUGGUUAUGAGAUGUUCUCAUACUCGACCAAAACUAUGAACAUUUCAAAUAAGCUUAUAUCAAUAAAAUCCAAUAGAGAAUUAUAUGUGUAAAAUAUUAAAGGUGCAAAAUGAUUCGGUCCUCCAUAUAAAAUCCGGAGCCAAAUACGAAAAAAAAAAUUUGGGUCUUUUUAAAACACAUAAGCUUUACAGGAAAUUCUAUAAAUCAAGACAAACUUAGCUCAAAUCAAAUGAGCCAAUAAAGUAAACAAAGCGAGAGCUCGAGACUAAUUAUCAUCUCUUUUCUCUUUCAGUCUCCGAGAUAAAUAUUAAUGAAAAGAUGCUGCUCAAAACAGCGUCAGGUAAGCAUUGCAAUAAAGCCACUAAUCUUUUUAACUUUUAAAAAUAAACAUGUGUAAUGGAGCAUGUUUAUAAACUAUAUAAGAUUAGGUGAGUAAUUUUUUUUGUGGUUUGAAUUUGGAAUUUAACACACAGUUUAAGAAAAAUACCAUGCUACAAAAUGUUAAGGUUAUCAGUUAAUGUUAAGAAUCUAUGCUUCAGUUUCGAGCAAUCUAAUUUUUAUUUUUCAUGGCAUAUUCUCUAUUAAUAAUCUAAUUUUUAUUUUUCAUGGCAUAUUCUCUAUUAAUAAUAUAAUAUUUCUACGAUUUUGAUUCUUUGUUUGUUACGAUUUUGUUUAAUACAAAUGCGGGCUUAUGUAUAUGUUUUCCUAUAAAUAAAGUAUUUUCCUUACUCCUAAGACAUUUACUACCAAAAUUUUGGAGCAUCCGUUGGGGUAAAUAUUUUGUAUUAUUAAUUUUUCACAUGAUACAUUUAUUAGUUCUCUCAUUGAAGGAUCUAUAUAGUAUAUAUUUUCGGAGACAUUUUUGAAAUAAAUCCUGCAGUUGGCACUUAUUUACAUUGUAAUGCCACCGUCAUUAAUUUUUAAAAUUUAUUUCUUUAAUUAAAUAUAUGUAAAUCUAAGGGCAAUUUAUACAAAUGGCACUAAAAAGGUAUAUUAUUCCAAAAAUGGCACUUUCUUUUGAAACUUCCAAAAAUAGCACACAAAGUUUAGAAAAUACACAAACCUACCUAAUUUCAUUUCUUCCAAACCCGACGACUUCCAAAAACAUGUCGCUUUCGACGACUCCGUCGCUCACCGGAUCUGAUUUCUUUACCGGAGAUUCGAAGACUUUGCCGGAGAUCCGCAGUUUCGUCGGAUUCAUUAGGCGUUAUCUCAUCCGACGCCGAUUGUGCAGGAAAAUUGGAUUCAUUAGGCGCCUCCGCCGGAAUCUGGAACGUCUCUGCUGGAAUCCUCUUUACUCCGGCACCAGCACUCUUGCUCUGGUAAACUAAACUAUCUCUCUCUCUCCCCCGAUCAAUUUCUCGAUUCGUAUCCUUGACUUGUCUUUUUUUUUUGUAUCGAUUUAGGUUGCUCGUGCUUCGGCUUUUGGGUUGGUUCUUAUCUAUCGCAACAUCAAGCUCAAGGCUUUGAAGGUACAUCUCUAUCCUCCUUGUCUUGUUUUUAUCAGAUCCUGAAGAGCUUCAAAGUAAUGGAUUUCUGCAAAUUGUUACUCUUGUUAACCCGAUUUAGCUGUGUCUUGUUAAAUUUGGAAUCUUUAUCUCGUUUAUGAAUGAUUUGAUUCUGGGUUACUUUGAAUGUAGUUCUCUUUUUUUUGAAUGAAUCUAAUGUCAGCAGAAUGCUUUGAGUUUUUGACGCAUGUGUUGUUUAUAGAUUUUGUUGCAUUCAAGAUGAUCUAUUGAAGAUUUUUGUGAUCUAUUGGACUGAUACAUUACAAGCUAAGACAGUUUAAGACUAAGACUGUUAUGUUUAAGACUAAUACAAUUUAAGACUAAGACUGUUUAAGACUAAGACAAUAUAAGAUUAGUUUAUCACUUUAGAUGAGUUUAGUUUUUGUCACAAUUUGAGAGAUAUAUCGUCACAUAGUUAUAGAUUCAAGUUUGUGAUAUGAAGAUAUGAAUAAACAUUCUUUACUUGUUUUUGUAGUGUUAUUGUCUGUUCUCUUUGCUUGAUAGAGUUGUUUUAGUUUGCAUUCUAGAAUGGUCUUCCUGAUUCGGGAAGGUCUUCCUAAUUCGGGAAGGACUUAUAGUAAUUCGGGAAGGUCUUCCUGAAUAUUUAUGUUUACUGAUUUCCUUUAAUUUUAGUUGCAGGAAAAUGGGAGAUUCGUUUCCAACAGAUGUCAAACUGCCAACGCUUCUGUACAAUAUAGGACAGGAGCCAAAUUCAAAUGAUGGGAUAAAUCAAUGUGCAAGAUAUGAGUAUAUCGAUAAAGUACAACGCAUCUUCUCUGCUACAGAGUUUCAGAAAAUCAGAGAAUUGAAGAUUUCUCCAAGCUGCGUGAUAUAGAUUCAGAAGACAUCAGAAACAAGUUCGUUGUGGAUAUCUUCAAUGAGUGUGUUAAGAUUUCUUAGGACCAUCUUUCUUUAUUGGAUGUAUGAUGCUUGUGAAACCGUUUUAGACUGUUUUGGUACUUCUAUGAUGGUUCUGAACUAGAAAAGUAUCAUCUGUUUCUAUUUAUAUUUUUUUUAGAUAUUCAAUGUAUGGUAUUUUGUCAGAUACCAUAUGUUUCGUACAGAUUAUCCACUCAGUUGUAUGCUCUCAGCAUAUCCUUUGCAUCUUAACUGUGCAAUUUGUGAAUGAUUUGAGGCAAAUUACGCAAAAGUAAAUAAUUUUUGAAAUUCAUGAAGGGUUUUCAAAUAUUCAGGAAGGAUAUAUACAUAUUCAGGAAGGUCUUCCCUAACAAAAAGCUGUAAUAAUUACUUCCACCAAGAUUCAAAACCGGGACCUAUUGUUUUUGUAAUAGAACAUGUAACCAGUGAGCCAAGCUUCUAAUUAUAAGAUCUUAUACAAACGAACGUUUAUAUUUCUAUGAAACACGAAACACAUCAUGACAUAAAAAGAGAUUUUAUAACUUCGCAGUAGCUUGCCUAUGAUUUUCAUUUCUGUGUGUAGUGUCACAUGUGUGCUCAUGACAAUACUUUUCACCACAAAGAAAUCACAAGAGUCUACCCUUAUUGCACGCAUCCUCCAAGUACAUUUAUCAUCUACAGAUACCAAAACCACUCUCUCUUUAUUAGACCAUCGAUACCUAAACUCAAACUUAUACUCCAACUCCCAUGUCCUCAUCUUCUGCAUUAACUCAGCCUUGUUCAUGAAAUAUUUAUUAACAUAUAUAUCAUCAGCACCUUGUGUUGAAUGUACACCGCCUAUAGGAAUCGGACUACGAUCAUGAGCAGGAAGCAAAUCCAAUGACUUAUUGCCUAUUCCCUUUUCAACCGUUGAACAUGUAUCAUUAUAUGGCACAGAGAUGGAAGAAAUUCCGACUGUUGGAUGAGGUUCCUACAAACGCAAAAAUAGAUAGGCAUAUGAACAAAGAGGUAAAAUUGAAAAAAGGACGACUAGAAACGGAUCAUAUCUGUAUAUUGUAGUAUUUAGGAAGGUCAUCCUAAAACUAAAUGUAUCCUUCCUAAAACCUAUGAAAUUGAGUUUUUACCUUCUGGUUUUCAUGUGCAGUAGAGAUAAAAGAAGUUUCAACUGAAAGGUGAGGUUCCUACAAACACAAAAAUAGAUAGGCAUAUGAAAAAGAGUUAAAAUUUAAAAAAGACGACUAGAAACUGAUCAUAUCUGUAUAUUGCAGUAUUUAGGAAGGUCAUCCUAAACCUAAAUGUAUCCUUCCUAAAACCUAUGAAAUUGAGUUUUUACCUUCUGGUUUUCAUGUGCAGCAGAGAUAGAAGAAGUUCCAACUAAAGGAUGAGGUUCUACAAACCCAAAAAUAGAUAGGCAUAUGAAUAAACAGUUCAAAUUGAAAAAAAAAAAAGACGACUAGUUAGGAUCAUAUCUGUAUAUUGCAUUAUUUAGGAAGGUCAUCCUAAAAUUAAAUGUAUCCUUCCUAAACCCUAUGAAAUUGAGAUUUUAACUUCUGAUUUUUAUGUGCAGCCGUUGAAUGUGAACUUCCUAUAGGAAUCACGGUAGAAUCUCGAGCAGGAGGCAAAAAUAAUGAAUAAUUGCCCUGUCCUUUUUCAGGCGUUGAACAUGUAUCACUUUGUGGCACAGAAACUGAGAUGUCCAUUCUAGUGCCUUCUUCAGCCUGCAUAAAUGUCACAUAGAUCCUAACUUAUAAGAUUAAUGGUAAUGCAUGGAGAUAAGAAGUUUUGGUUGCUUACCUCAAGUUCUCCAAGUACCAAAUCGUCAUUUCCUCGCAGAUGCAAACUUCGUCUUCAUCAUCCAAACUUUAAUUCACCAACAAGAUUUAAUCAAAUCCAGAAACCAUAUAAACAAAAAAAAGGACAGGACUAGAGAUCACGAGAUACAAAUCCGUUACAAUCUUAGAUCGACAUAGCUCCAAACACAUGAUCUUUCCUCAAUAAACAAAGCUUGUGGAUUCGUCGGAGAUUUCGCCGAUUUAGCACGAGCGUAAGCUUCUUUGACUGAAUCAUAUAUCAUAUGUUUAUAUCAUCUACCUUAUAUCAUAUGUAAAUCAUCUACAGAUACCAAAACCACUCUCUUUGUUCAGAAUUCGUAAAGCAUCUAUUUAUCAAUAGUUUCCAAUUACAAGUCUCAUCUACUUAAGAUUUCUAAUGCAAUCAAGCCCAACAAUGAAAAAGGUAAGAGAUGAACAAUGACACAUCAGAAUUCUUUAUGCUGAAUCAAUGAACGCACCUAUAAUUUGCCUAAUUCUACAAUAGAAAGCCAUAAUUCAACAAUAAACGCCUAAUUUCGUCAACACGAUUGGGGAAGAAGAAGAAGAAAAAAUUGGUGAAAGAGAUCGAUUUAUACCAGUUUGAAGAUCGAAAAUAGGUGAAGAUUUCUCCGUCGUCGGCAGAUCUCUCCGUCGCCGGCAGCUCUCUCCAUCGCCGACAGCUAUCACGUGAAAUCGUCUCCGUCGCCUUAUCGUGGAUCGUGGAAUGCUUUCUUUUCCUUUUUGUUUAUUAAAUUUAUUAAUUUUUUAAAAAGAGUGCUAUUUUUGUCAAAUAAACUAAGAGGUGCUAUUUUUGUCACAAAAACUUCAUUUAGGGCUAUUGGAGACCAUUUCUCUAAAUCUAAUUCGUUUGCCAAAACUCUGGAGACAAUCUUUCCUAAUAUUUCGACAAUAAUCAUUUAUACUCUAUUUAAAUUAAGAUUUUCAAUUCAAAAUCACUUACCAUAUAUUGCCCUAUAUUAUCAACACAAAAUCGCCCAAACAAAUAUUCAUACCAAGGAAUUUGAAGAAAUUUUUUAAUACUACUAACAGUCGGAAUUCAAAAAAUACAUAUAAUUUUUUUUAAAAAUAAAAAUUAUAAUUUAUAUAUUCAAUAUCAAUAAAUUUUUUAUAAUAUUAUGAAUAUUUGAACAUAUCAACAUUUUAAACUAACACAUGACAGGUUAUAUUACAGGACGAAAUUAUAUGGCGGGACAGAGUUAUAUGGCGGGACGGGUUUGAAUUAAAAUUAAUAAAAUUUUGAAAUAUCAUUAACUCGUCCCUUCAAUACGGGUUAAAUCCUCAUUUUAUGAUUUUGGAAGACCUGUAAUAUUAGACAUAUCGAAUCAGUCUAAUUUAGUUAAAAUUGUAUAAAACAAAAAUUGUUAUGUAGUAUACCGUUACUUAAUGACAAUUAUAAACUAUAAAUUAUAAAUUUCUUAAAAAUGAUACAAUUUGCAAAUUUUUAUAAAUAAUACAUUAAUUAAAAAUUAAAAAUCAUAAAUUUUAGAAAAAAGCAUUCGCGGUGUACCGCGGGUCAAUCCCUAAUUGUUUAUUAUUUCUAGAUACACCUUACAUAGGGAAUUCUACUUCGUAAGAGUUUAUCCAAUCCAAGACUCAAGACUCAUAUGAGAGAAUCAGAUUUUAUCUCGUUUUUCUCAUUACCUUAAUUUUUCUUUUAAUUGCAUUAUUGUCUUAUGUGGAAUUAAGAAUAUAUUUUUCAUUAUUUAACACAAUAUCACUUCACUUUCUUUAUUCACCUCGAGAGACACAUUUGCUUUCUUUACAUUUGGAGAAACGAACUUUCAUGAACUCAACACAUUCAUUUGUAUUCGUUGUUGAAAUAUGGAACUAUAUAUGACGGUUAACAUUUGAUUUAGGUACAUGCUAAAGAAAUGAAGAGGGGAAAGUGUCGUGGGUUCUUGAGUGUCAAUGGUAAUUACGGAUAGACUUACAACGGAAUUGAUGCUAAUAGAGAUGCUUAAUUAAGUCUGCCUUUGACAGAAAAUGUGUUUCUAGAUAGUUUAGGACCUAGAUGUAGAGCUAUAUAUGACUAAAAAGCAUCAUUAUUCUCGAUCUUUUCAUUGUGUCGUUUUCGAGAGUUUAGGUGUAUUAGUAAAAGUUUUUCAUAAAUUUUAAUUUAUGGAUUUCCAUCACAAAAAAUAUAUUUAAGAAUAACAAUACAAACUAUAUAGAUCAAAUGUGACGAUAUUUACUUUCGUAAAAGAAAAUUAAUUUUACAUUUAGAUUAAUAACUAUAUAUAUUAUUCCUUUUAGUAUAAGAAACUAUAAUACAAUUUUAUUCAUAAUCUCUCUUUAUUUUAUUCAUUACAUCAUUCUCUUAUUCUAAAAUAGACACCUAACUCAUUGGAAUGCAAAUAAUUCUACUAUUCUUAUGUUUUAACUCUACCUUGUUAUAUGACUUAAUUUUAGAACUCCAAAAAAAACAAAUUUCUAUUUUGCGGCUAAAACAUAAUUAAUAUGACAAUUUAUCAUUUUUCUCUACUAUUAUAUUAUAUACUAUGUAAGAACCCGUGUCAUGCACAGGUAAAUCUUAUGUUAUUUAAUUUUAUGAAAAAGAUUAAAAUAACACUCAAAUUUUUAAUAUUAAAUCAUGAGAUGUCAAAGCUAAAUUUUGUAGAUGAGCUAAAAUAUUAUAAAUAUCAUGCAAUAACACAACGUUUUAGUCUAUAAAUAAAUUUACAUAUUGAAUUUCAAUAUUUUAAUGACUUUAUAUAUACAAAGAAAAUUGCAUUUUACGUCAUUCAUCUGAUUUUCUGUAAAACCAAACCAGUGAGAUUUUAUCAGGAGGAAGUAGUGCAAUAAAGAAAGAUAUGCAGUUUCUUUUUUCUUUUGGGGAAGGAUCACUCACUUUUGUUUCGAUAAGACGUGUUUCCCACUCAGGCAAAACGAUGAACGGAUUAAACAAAAAAAAAAAAAAAAAAAAAAAAAAAAAACGAUGAACGGAAAAGUCUGCGUCCGUCGCCUUCGGAGGACCGUGACGCUACGAGCUACCACACGAUUAGCGCAACAGAGCCACCACAACGACGACGACGUCGUUUGAAUUUAACAGAUUAUUUGGGCCUGCAGAGCUGUGACCCAAUAAGAUUAUCGGCCCAGUAAACACCCUUUAUUUUAUUUUCUUUCUGUUUAAUUUUCCCAUAUUCGUUUAACGUGCAUCGCAAGGUAUUUUAGGGUUUCACAUUAACAGAUGUGACUCUAAUAGCACUCUUUAUAAUACCAAACUUGUUGAUUUUUUUUUUUCGUUAGAUUGGAACAAACCCAAAUUGUUUACUACUAGGCCGACUUAUUUUAUGUUAUGGAAAUUUAAUUAAAAUGGAAUAUUUAAUAGUUGGAACACUAUAUCCAAAGAUCCGAGCUUUGCGAAGACGCACUUUGGUAAAGCGGCGAGACAGUUAAUUAUGUUGUCUGAAUUUAGGGUUUGGUUGAUGAGUGUAAAAUUCCAAGGAGACUGUGACGAGGACGAGUUGGCCGAUCCAUAUAUGAAGGGUAUAGGUAAGCUUACAAGCCUAAACAAUUUAGAUCAAGUGGAGAUAUCAAAAGUUUUUCACUGCAACGGCUUACUCUUAUGCUUGACCAAGGACAAGACUAGGCUCGUGGUAUGGAACCCGUAUUUGGGACAAACCAGGUCGAUCGAACCUAGAAACGCUUUCCACAGAUUAGACGUGUAUGCUCUAGAAAAACUUGGAAACCCAAAAAAUCUUGAGGUUUGUGGAUCAUUACGAACAUGCUGUUAAGCAUUCUAUUAUAGAACACGAAAUUUUUGAUUUGAAGUCUAACUCAUGGAGGGUUCUUGAUGCCACUCCUGACUGGGAGAUAGAUUCUUAUCAACGUGGCGUGUCUUUAAACGGAAAUACUUAUUUUUUUGCUAAAGAAAAAAUAGUGGUGGAAGGGGAAAGAUGGGUAGUGAUUGAUGAAGAGGUCAAAGAUUUCUUGAUCUGUUUUGAUUUUACAAGUGAGAGAUUUGAACCGCGUCUUCCUCUGCCGUUUUACUCUUACGAUGGAGAGACCGUGACUCUUUCUAGUGUUAGAGAAGACCAGCUUGCAGUGUUAUAUCAGCGGGAUACUUGUUUGAUGGAGAUAUGGGUUACGAAUAAGAUUGAGCCGGAUGUGGUGUCAUGGAGCAAGGUGUUCUUAGCAGUGGAUAUGAAACCACUCACUGGUUCUCAUCAUCCGUUUGCUUUUUACGCUGGGAGUUUCUUCAUUGACGAGGAGAAAAAAAUCGCUGUGGUAUUCGAUAAAGACAAAGAGGAGAUCAACGACAGAGCUUACCUGAUUGGAGAGAAUGGAUACUACAAAGAAGUGGAUCUUGGAUACCUGAAUGGAUACUACCAAACAAGUAGAUCUUAUGAGCCCUAAUACUAUUUACCCUCUCGUGUGCUCCUAUUCUCCGAGUUUGGUGAGGAUCCAGCAAGGUGCACGAGGCAAAAGGAAAGAACAAGAUUAUUAGUACGUAUAUCAUUUGGUUUUUAUUAUGUCAUCUAUUUUAGGUUUUUUUAAACCAGAUAAAUUUGUUUCUAUUUGCUUAACAAAACAGUCUCUGUUGAUGAGUUUGAUUGUUGUCGAAUAAUUUCUCUUUCUUUUUCUAUUUUUUUGAGGUUGUUUUUAAAUUUUCUCCCAAAGACUUAGAGCAUGAGCAGUGGUAGAGACUCGUAGAAUUAAUCUCUCAAAAAUUAUUAUUUUAAUGUUUUUAAUAUAAUUUAAUUGUUGUUUUAAAUUUAAAACUAAAAAGAAAAAGCAAAGCCAUCAAAUUUUGCCAUAUGUAAAAAGAGUUUCUAGAGAGGUUCUCACAUGUUCUCAUUUGAGAAUCGAUUAUCGUUUCUCACUCUUCUUUUUCAUUAUUUUUCUUUUUAAUAUUGUUGAGAGACUUGAUGAGAGACUUCCACUGUGAAUGCUCUUAUUCUUUUCCCACUUGAUAGCCCAUUCCCCAUUUGCUAGUAGUAAUUCCGAUUUUCUGUACAAAGAAAUGUUCGGUAUUUUGAUAUAUACUUAUACUAUAUGAUUAAUAGGUGUAAGCAACUGAAGACAAGAGUCAAGUGUAACUAGAGCAGAGUAGCUUUGGUUUGGAGACCAUAGCAAAAGUUAUCUAAUAUUAAAAAAAAAAACCAAAAAAAAAGAAAUUAUUUUUUUUAGUAAGAACCUUUAUUGUUUUUUCAUUUAUUUUUUUUGUAAAUUAUUAUUUUUCAAUGAAAGUAAUAAAAUAAAAUAUGUGAAUUAAUUUAGAUUUAAUGUUUUUGUUUUAAUAAUAAGAUAGAUGGAGUCCACAAAAAUAAAAAAUGUGAAGACAAUGAUGCAGAUGUGGACACCCUAGAUGGAGUGAGAACUCUCUAAUUAUAUAUAUAUAUAUAUAUAUAUAUAUAUAUAUAUAUAUAUAUAGAUUAUUUGAUUUACUAUAAGAAACUAUAAUACUAUUUUAUUCAUAAUCUCUUUAUUUUAUUCAUUACAUCAUUCUCUUAAUUCUAAAAUAGACACCUAACUCAUUGGAAUGCAAAUAUUUCUACUAUUCUUAUGUUUUAACUCUAUGUUAUUAUUAUAUGACCAAAUUUUAGAACUCCAAAAAAACAAAUUUCUAUUUUGCGGCUAAAACAUAAUUAAUAUGACAGAUUUUAAUUAUAAACAAUUUAUCAUUUUUCUCUACUAUUAUAUAUAUACUAUGUAAGAACCCGUGUCCUGCACGGGUAAAUCUCAUGUAUUUAAUUUUAUGAGAAUAUUAAACCAUGAGAUGUCAAAGCUAAAUUUUGUAAAUGAGCUAAAAUAUUAUAAAUAUCAUGCAAUAACACAACGUUUUAGUCUAUAAAUAAAUUUACAUAUUAAAUUUCAAUAUUUUAAUGACUUUUAUAUAUACAAAGAAAAUUGCAUUUUACGUCAUUCAUAAAUUUAGACUUAUAGAUUUACUAUUUAAAUUUUAAUUUUUGUAAUGUAUAAAAAAAAAUUGUUGAUGUUAAAAAAUGCAUAUCUUAUAUGUUUUUUUUUUUUUUAACUCAGCUUUAUUCCAUUAGAUUGAACCAAUGAAGUCAGUUAACAGAGUAUCAGAAAUACAAAUAGGAAUGAAAUGAUGAUAGAUAAUCGAAACUGUUUCCGAUCUUUGUAUUUUUGCUAGAGUAUCUGCAUGUUGAUUCGUUGUCCUUGGAACCCAGUUAAAUUCAAUAGCAUCAAAUCGCCUUGCCCAACUCUUGACUUCAUGAAUCCAAUUAAGAGCGUCAAACUUCAUGGUCUGUCCUUUAAGAAUCUUCACUAAAUUGCCACAGUCCCCUUCAAAAAUCACUUUCCUGUAACCUUACCUUUAAUCCACAUUUGUUGCAUGGCGAAGAUAAGGCUCUGACAUUCCGCUUCGAAUGCAUUAUUUACCCUCGGGCCUGUAGCUUGACCUGCUCCUUUAAAGACACCGUGUUCAUCACGACUCAACCGUGCCGAUAGGGUUUAUCAAAAAAAAAAAAAAAAAAAAAAUACCGUGCCGAUGUAGUCCGUUGAAGUCGAUUGUUGAAACUUCCAUCGUAGUUGCACUUUACCCAAUUCGGCUUCGGUCUCUUCCAUCUUGAUUGAUUCCUUCUGAUCCCUUGGGGCGGGGGUUGUUUCACAUAAGACUCCUCAGCGUCUUGGUAGGCCUAACGCAAAUCUUUCUCCCAUCUAUUCUGUCUUUGUUGAAAGACCAAUUUAUUUCGACUUUUCUAUAUUCUCCAUAACGUCCACAAAGACAAAUAUCUUAUAUGUUUAUAUUGUUUAAUUUCAAUUGAAAAACACAAUGAAUUUAAUAUAAAAAUCUUUGGGAAAAAUGUCGUUAAAAUCCCCAACUUAUUCAAAACGUUGAUUUAAAUCCUCAACUCAUGACGAAACGAAAUAAAUAUCAAACUUAUAUUGACUUUCCAAAUAAAUAUUAAACUUAGGUUGACUUUCCAAAUAAACACUAAACUUUCAUUGACUUUCCAAAUAAAAAUCAAACUUCCGUUGACCUGAUCAUAUUAGGUACGACGUUAAGUGGGUUAAUAAAUCCUCAACUCAUGACAAAACGAAAUAAAUAUCAAACUUAUGUUGACUUUCCAAAUAAAUAUCAAACUUAUGUUGACUUUCCAAAUAAAUAUCAAACUUCCGUUGACCUGGCCAUAUUAGGUACGACGUUAAGUGGGUUAAUAGAUCCCGUUAACAGAGGUAAUUUUCUGUUAACAUAUAUGUUAAUUGAUAACGACAUUGUUUCAUAUAACAACAAAACGACGUCGUUUUGUCGUAACGAUUGAAUUAAAUCCCUAAAGUCAAUAUUCGAUUCCCAAAUCGAGCAAAAUCCCUAACCCUAAAUAGAGUAUGAUUUGAAACUCGGGAUUUUAAUGAACAGUUUCGACAAAACAAAGUCGUUUUAUGUUUAGAAGGAAUACUUGUUAGUGUUUUGAUCAACAAACGAACUCUGUUUUAACAGAGUAUGAAGAACAAAACCAAAAUGAAAAAUAGAGUAUGAAGAAACUUGAUCUUUAUUGAUAAGAGGAAAUGUAUUACACACAAUGAUGUUAUUGAGUUUGACUUGAUCUACUUAUACAACACGAAACAACGUGUACGUACAUGUGUUAAUCGAAAAGACACAACUUUACGAACAGACACAACUAUACGUACGUACAUUCGUGACUCUUACGUAAAUAACUAACUUAUAUGAAUACGACUUUAGGUUAUAUGACUUAGAUGAGAUUUGAUUAUAGUUCAACAAUACUGUCAUUUUUAAUUAGCGGGUCUGUUAACAGAAAAUUAAUUCCGUUAACAUUGUCUGUUAACUCACUUAACGUCAUGCCUAAUAUGGCCAAGUCAAUGAAAGUUUGGUGUUUAUUUGGAAAGUCAACAUAAGUUUAAUAUUUAUUUGGAAAGUCAACAUAAGUUUGAUAUUUAUUUCGUUUCGCCGUGAGUUGAGGAUUUAAAUCAACGUUUUGAAUAAGUUGGGGAUUUUAAUGACAUUUUUCCCAAAAAUCUUUGUAUAGAAGUUUUUUUAAUUUAAAAUUUCAAGAUAUUUAAUUUUGGUAACUUUAGUUAAUAAAAGUAAAUAGUAUAUGGAAUUAAAAGUAUUGUGCAAGAUGAAUAAUAUAAUUAAAUAAAUAAAAAUAAAAAAUAAUUGUGAGCUUGACACAUAAGCAUCAAAAACUCUCUUUUAAUAUAAGUACACGAUUCGGGCUAGUCCAAUCCUAGUAUGCUUUAUAGCGAUAGUUUUGUAAAUUAAACUUUUGUUCAUAUCACUCUGAUUCUAAGUCCAUGCUUCAACGAAUGACACUUCCCAAAUCAAUAAGUUAUAAAAAGAUGGUUCAAUAUUCUUCUACAAAUAAAGAUGCGAAUGAUCAAUUUUUGCAAAGAUGAAUAAUAUAAUUAAAUAAAUAAAAAAUAAAAAAUAUGAAAAUAAUUUUGAGUUUGACACAUAACCAAUAUUAGACAUAUCAAAUCGGUCUCAUUUAGACAUAUCAAAUCGGUCUCAUUUAGAAAAGAUUGUAUAAAACCAAAAAUUGUUCUGUGGUAUAAUGUUACUUAAUAACAAUUGUAAACUAUAAAAUAUAAAUGUCUUAGAGAAUCAUACAAUUUGCAAACUUUUAUAUAUAAUAAAUAAUCGUUUAAUUUUUAAAAUUACUACUUUUAGAAAACAAAUUACGGAACAGGUUAAGAAAUUACAGGACGGGUUAUAUUUCAGAACGGGGUUAUAUGGUGGAGGAGUUUGUAUCAAUAUUUAUAAAAUUUUAAAAUAUCAUUAACAUGCCGCUUUAAUACAGAUUAAAUCAUCAGUUUAUUAAAAUAUAAAUUUCUCAGAGAAUGAUACAAUUUGUAAACUUUUUUAUAUAAUAAAUAAUCAUUAAAUUUUAAAAUCACUAAUUUAGAAAACAAAUCACGGGACGGGUUAAGAAAUUACGAGACGGCUUAUAUUUUGGAACGGGUUUACAUGGCGGACGGGUUUGAAUCAAUAUUUAUAAAAUUUUAAAAUAUUAUUAACAUGCCGCUUUAAUACGGAUUAAAUUCUCAAUUUAUUAACAAUUGUCCCGUAGACUCGUGGUAUAUCGUUACUUAAUAACAAUUGUAAACUAUAAAAUAUAAAGAGAUACAAUUUCCAAAAUUUUAUAUAUACUAAUUUUAAAAAAUAAAUCAUGAUUAAAAUCUAGUAUAUUGUUAUUUAUAAGUACACGCGCUAGUCCAAUCCUCGUAUGCUUUAUAGCGAUAGUUUUGUAAGAUAAACUUUUGUUCAUAUCACUGUGAUUCUGAGUCCAUGCUUCAACGAAUGACACUUCCCAAAUCAAUAAGUUAUAAAAAGAUGUUCAAUAUUCUUCUACAAAUAAAGAUGGGAAUGAUCAAAGUUUUCCAUCGAACUGAGUCCUGCGAAAAACAAGGCAAGUGCAUCGCAAGAGUUUCCCAUUAACAAAAAGCUCUGCCUAAAGAGCAGUUGAACUGUGUUUUGGUCUUGCUGGGAAGUGGAAUCAUAAAGACGGUCUCUGACAGAGGAUGAAGAGUUGACAACUGAUAAAAGCCAUUACCAGAGAAGUCACAAGCUCAAACCCAACAAUUUUCGGGAAAUGCCAUCCCAUGACUCUCUUUAGAUAGCUUGUGAUAGACGGCAUUGUUGCGAUGAUGACUGCACAAGUGUAUAUGAUGGGGAUCAGACUCUUCGGCUUGUUCUUGCGUAGCCACAUCAAAGAACCUAGUGCAGCUAGAGAUAUCGUGAACACCUGAAUUUGACACAAACGUUUGAUGGAAGUGAGAAACAAUUACAGAUGGAUCUUUCUAGAAAUAAAAAAUUGGUAUGUACCAGAUUUGCAUUGGCUUCAAGCCCUUGCAAAACAUAAUCCCAAGUGAACUCCAGUCCUCGAGCACCGACCCAGAGAGGUGCCAACCUGUGCAAAACAGAAUCUGCGAAUGCCCAUCCUGAACAAAAAGAAAGCAUUUUUUUAAUAAAUAUUCCAUGAUUAGGGCAAGCCUAGUAAUGUUGAAAGGUCCAACGGAAUUUAGUCAUGACGACCACUGAUAAAUAUUGAGGGAAGUCUAGAAAUGGUUGAAAGCUCCAACGGAAUUUUGACAUGGAAACUACACUUCCAGUAAUCAUAAAAAAGGAGUUUCUUUUCUAUGAACCAGUUCAAAGCAAUUCCACCAUCAAAUCAUCGAUUUGUAACAUUUUUUUAGAAUGUUAUAUCCAAAGCUAACAAUAUUUGUAGCAGCAGAGAUCCACUUACCAAGGCCAACAGCUUGAAACUUAUGGUUUUGGGAGAUGUUCCUGUGUGUCAGCUGGGCCAGAGCAUAAUAUAGACCAGCAACGUCUAUGAAGCCAAUCAUUGCUUUCAAUGCUUCCUGAUACAAGGGAGAUUGAACCCAUAUUUAGUCAUCUAGAUUAUAACAUAACAAAACAAGUAUAGCGGUAAUAGUAGAAGUUGAUAGUGAAAAGAAAGUCAACAAUGUGCAUCUAUAUAAUAGAGAAAACACAUUAUAAACUUCAGAAAAAGAAGAAAUGCAUCAAGUGAACCUGAAAAGAUAAGUCUGGUUAACAUCAUAUAUCAUUUUACUUAGAGUAGCAGUAAAGAUGACAACUUCAUUAUCUUUCAAUAGAAAAAUAACCAACAGACUCAUAAGUGCUACAGUAAUCUUGUCUUAGCUACAAGUAAAUAAAUACCUGGUAUGGGUCAAAUACUUCAGUCUCAGAAACUUGCAGAAAAGUCGCUAAACAAACAAGCUGCCAUGAAAAUAACCAAUAAGCUUAGCUAAAAGCGAUUCAGAAACAAAUCCAUCACAAGAAAGAUUUGCGCAAAAAUGUUACAGUUGACUAACCUUAACCAAUGCAGUAGCAAGGUAAACUACAGCAGCUUUCACGGAGGUUCCAAGUGUAUCAUAUUCAGAUCUGCAGAUUCACUUUCCGAUUACAAACUAUAACCCUAACAUAAAAUUCUAAUUCCGUGAAGAAACCAUAACAAUACACAAAGUCAAUUUGUGAACUUCUCAAUAACUAAGUUCCGCAGAAACCUAUAUACUACGUCUAAGAUUCUAGAUCCCGAAGUUUACAAGUAAGAGAUUGUUGUACGCGAAAGAAGAUCUAAGUACAAUCUUAGAUUAGGUAUGACUAAACGAAAAGAGAUUACAAUUUGAGAUCACAGAUCGAGAAAGAGGAUUUGUUCAUACAAGGGAGUGGCGGAGUAGUAGACGGCGUGAGGACCGAAUGUGAGAAUCGCACAGUUGAAGAAGUGAAAAAGCGUCAUCGUCCACCGUCGCUCUCUGUUUCUCCGGUACCAAAUCAGAAGCUACAGCUCCGGCGGCUCAAAGACGACGACGUGAAGCUGUGAAAUUGAAGAAGAAGAGGUUUGUGAUCUCUGAAACUCUGAUGGAAUCAACAAAAAUCUUAAUGGGUUUCAUUUUGGGUCAUUAUUGGGCCGUCAAAUUUUUUGUUCAUUUUUCUUGAAAGCUAGUUUUCUUUUCAUAUGGUUUGCACAAAAAAAAAGGUAUAUCUUUGUUGUAAAAUGAAAUGAAAUUGGUUUUUUUUUUUUUUUGGUUAGCUGAAAUUUGUUUACAAAAGAAUGAAAUUACAUAGUAAUAACCAAUAAUUUGAAUUUGGUUACUUUAAUUUUGAGUUCUAUAUAUAACCAAUAAUUUAAUCCAUAUUUGAUUUUGUGUUAAACAGUUUCUAAAUUUUAUUCUUUCUAAAACUUAGAAGUGUUAGUUAUCGAUAUGAAUUUUAAUAUAUUUUGAGUAAUCCAUUUAAAUUUUUUUUGAAUUUGAAUUUUAAUAUAUUUUGAGUUUUAAAUCUGUUUUAAAUUUUUUGAAUAAUUAGAAUUUUAUUAUUCAGCGUUCAUGUUAUUCACUAUUUAAGAGCAUCUCCAUCAAUGGUGUCUCAUUGAGAAACUAUCUCUUAAAAAAAUAUAAAAAAAUUAAAAAAGUAAGAAAGAGAAAGGAGAGAAUGUCUCAGAAUGUCUGAUUUGAGAAACUCUGAGAAACCCACUAAACCACUUGUUUUUCAUCUAUUGGUUCAAUUUUAUAUUUAUGAUUAAAAAAAUAAUUAUAUAACUGAAAUAUAUUAAAAUACUAAUAUUUUUUUGUUUGAGAAACUCAAAAAGUAUCUCACUGUUGGAGAUGGUAACGCGUAAAACAUUCAAGCCGAUUGUCUAGUUCCCGAUUAAUUGUUAUUUUGGCCAAAAAAUUUCAGACUACUUAAUACAUAUAUAUGAUUUUUUUGAAUACUAUAAUUCUGUAGUGUUUUGAAGGACUUGCCCAAACAAUUUUUUUAUAUAAAAAAUCAUUUUCUAAUGAAAUUUAAUAUAGAGGAAACUAUAUGAAAAAGGUAAGAAUUAAAAGGGGGAAAAAAAAUUCAUAUGUAACAAAAACAGCAACUGAAAAAAACGUCUAAAGCCUAUAUAAAAACCACAUCACCACUCUCACAACAUCCCCUUCUCUUUCGCUUUCUCUCUUCUCUCCCAUUAACUUCUCUCUCGUUUUCUCAUAGUCUCAACUUAAUGCCGUCGGAACCAAACCAAACCCGACCCACCAGAAUUCAGCCCUCUACGGCGGCUUACCCACCUCCAAAUCUGGCUGAGCCUCUCCCAUGUCCUCGCUGCAACUCCACCACCACCAAGUUCUGUUACUACAACAACUACAAUCUUGCUCAGCCUCGUUACUUCUGCAAAUCUUGCCGCCGUUACUGGACUCAAGGUGGUACACUCCGUGACGUCCCCGUCGGUGGUGGAACUCGUCGGAGCUCUUCAAAACGUCACCGCUCUUUCUCCACUACCGCAACCUCCUCUUCCUCCUCUUCUUCCGUCAUCACCACGACCAAAGAAGCAGCCACAAAUGAGACGAAGGGUAGUAAUGUAAUUUCAGGUCAUGGAAGCUUUGCUUCUCUGUUGGGUUUAGGAAGUGGAAAUGGUGGGUUGGAUUUCGGGUUUGGGUAUGGGUACGGGUACGGGCACGGGCACGGGCUUGAGGAUAUGAGUGUUGGGUAUCUUGGAGACUCCUCCGGAGUAGAGAUUCCGGUGGUUGAUGGUGGUGGUGGUGACACGUGGCAGAUUGGGGAGAUUGAAGGUAAAAGUGGAGGAGACAGUUUAAUAUGGCCUGGUCUUGAGAUCUCAAUGCAAACCAACGAUGUUAAGUGAAAUUGAAACCGUUUCUGAUUUCUUGUCUUUGUCUUCUUUUGUUUGUGUCUUUUUGGAAUUUUCUGUUUGUUUUCUUUUUUUCCUAAAAAGAAGAGCAAAGAAACCAAAUUGAAGCAAAUUUUUCUUAGUUUUUGAGGUCCAACAAUGGUGGUGUAUAAAUCCUCUGUUUCUUUGACGAACAUAUUGGAAUGGAUUUAUGAGUAAAAAAGUAAAAAAAAAAAAAUUAUUUCUUUUGAUUUUUGGUUGGUUAAAUUUUGAAAGGUAUAGUCAAAUGUAGAAAGAUGAAUUGAGCAUAUAAGUCCAAAAAGGAAAAAAGUACAUAAGUACUGUUGCAGAAGUGAGUAAGAGAUACUCUGUUGCUACAUCUUUGAAAUGAGGAAAUUGCGUUGAACUUAAUUUUGUUUUUAUUAUAGAUAAACAUCAACUACAACAUUGUUCAUUUGCAGUGUAAAAGAUUUUGUAUAUCAAGUCAUGUGAGUCUAGUGUUUAGUAUAUAAGACAAUUCAUAAGAAUGUUUUAAAAAAAAGUUUCAUUCGAUCAAUGGAUUGGAAAUUUUUAGGGUUAAUUUAGAUUAUGGUGUACUUAUCAGGUUUAAUCCUUAGUGUUAUUAUUUUUUUUUUGUCAAACUAUUAAACUAUAGUGUACUAGGUUAAACGUUAAAAACAAAAUUUGAAUGUAGGAAUUAUAGCUAAUAGAUAUUGUUGUGUAGUCUCCUAUUGUGGUCAAAGCAAAAAAAAAAACAAAUUGCGUUUAGGUUUAGGUUUGAUACCAACAUUAUGACCCAAGGACAUAUAUAGAGAAUGAUGUUUAGGUUUGAUACCAGCUAAUAGAACUUUUGCCCGCAUAAAUCAAUCAACCAUGUUCAGUGAGAGCGCCCAAGCAUCUGUGGUCUAGUGGCAGAGGAAGCUUUGGGAAAGGGUGAAACUUCCAAACCUGAGUUCGAUUCUCCCUGGAAACAAAAACACAUUUGUUUGGGAAGUCUGUCAGUUGGGCUUUGGUCCAAUUGGUUUACCUGGUAGCCAGAAAUGCAGGCGGCCUGACUACCCCUGCCACUUAGUCGGAAGGCAUUCCAAACUCGGGAUAGGCAGAGUGGUAGCCCGUAAGGGCCUAACCGUUAACACGGUGGACCAGUCCACUAUGUAACACUUUGGUGCGUUCUUACCGAGGCCGACCGGAUAACCGAUAGGGUUUAUCAAAAAAAAAAAAAUAAUAAUAAAAAAAUAAUAAUAAUAAAUAAAUGUUCAGUGAGAGCGUAAUCAGCUCCAUUUAAUUGUAUGUCUCAGUAACUUAGUUUGAGUCAUUGUUAGAGCAAACGCAAUGGCGUAAUUGAGACAUGGGUGUAAGUUAUAAACAAUUGAGAAAUAUUGCAAAAGUUACAUUUUCAACAAAAACCGGUUGUAGACUUACACUCAAGUGUGAGGCAUUAUAAAAAUAGAAAAAAAUGUAUUCUCUCUAUCCGUCUCUAUCUCUCUCUCUCUCUUUUAUCUCUUUCUCUUUUAAUUAUAAUAAUAAACAAUUACUUACACCCACAAUUACACAUGCUCCACUGCGUUUGCUCUUAUCCUUUCUCCACCAACACAAGGUAUGUAGAGCCCGGGCCCAACAUUAAUUUGAGCUUUAGGACAAUUUUUUUUUUUGGAUCUUUUGUUAAAUGAAAAAAGGUUGGACAUUUUUGGAACUUUUUACAAGUAAAUUUUGAGCACUUUUAACAUUUUUUGAAAAUAUAAAUUCUUUUUGUAAAAAUACAAGCCAAUUAGAAAAAAUUUGGACUUUUUAAUAUAUUUAUAAGGAAUCAAAAUUUUUUAUCAAGUAUUUUUUGGUCCAUCUAUUUUUUUCUAAAAAACCUGAGCUUUUUUCUUUCGUAAUUUUUUUUGGUAAAUACUCCAUAAGCUUUGCGCCGUCGUACCUCGCCCCACCAUAUUAGACCGGAUAUGUAUAUUCUUCGUUGUUCUCCACGAGAAAGGACUCUCUUACGACUUUAUCACAAAAUCGAAAGUAUAGUAUUUUACACACAUGUGACUAAAGUAAUUGUGUAACGCAAGGCAUAUUAGAUCCAAGUUAAUUUAUCAUCGGUGUUAACUUAGGUUUAUGGUUGAUGACUUGAUGUAUAGGGAAAACGAAGUUGAACAAUCUAUAAAGCUAAUAACAAAAAACACAAACUAAUUAUGCGAUCUAUAUAUGUUAAUACGUGAGUUACCGGAUAUAGUAAAUUUGCUUUUGAGUGGAGUCUACACCACUAAUUUUACACUACUCAUAAAUUUUGCUUCGUUUAUAUAUUGGAGAAUAUAAUAUCUUUCUAAUCUGUUUGGUGUGAUAACGUUAUAUUUCGAAUUAAAUGUGUAACAUUUUCAAGAAUUUUUUUUUUUUUUUUUAAAUAGACAUCUUUAUUAUAAAAUUCUCCCAAAUGGGCCUGAGCCGAACAACAACAAAAGCCAAGACCAGUUACAAAAUAGCAAAUCGGCGUUUCACCGGAAGAAAAAGAAGCUCGCCGUUUGUUGAUAGAUGCCCGCAGAGCAACCGGAGCCUGACAUCCGGCGGGCUCAAGACCCACAGUUUUGUGGCUACAACCGAAGACCGUGAAAUAUCGGCGAAAGAGACCGGUUUCCGCCAUCAAUUACAUACCUCUGACGAACCAACCCACCACAAGUCUCACGGAAAGCUAGUCACUCCGACUAAGCACAUCGACGGAAACAGAUCCUAAAGAAGCAAUCCGACUCACUAGACGGAAACCCCUCUCUUCCAGACCGGAAAAACAAACCAAGAUCCCAGAGCUUUGACGAAUCAAUCCGGCUCGAUGGCUGCUAAAUUGUGGCGGAUCUAAAGGAUGGUGGCUCAAAUCCAAACCCCGUACACCCGAAAUCCACAACCGCCCUCUAAGAUCCUAUGGAUCUGCAGCUAACCACCGAGCAAACAACGAACCCACCUUAAUCCCCCCCAACUUCCGCCGUGAACGCAACUUGAGACUGACGGUUGAGCCGGAGGAACUGAGCCACUCACGACGUCCCAACCAUGAGAGAACUGUUGCAGUAGACCUCCUCCAAUCAGACCCGAGUCACCUCCACAUCGAAGGGAAAACGCCACACCACCGUUGACAGAGAAACUGAUGUGAUCAUGGGAAGCUUGGGUCAAGGAACUAAGGAACAGCUUGAACCAGAGGAGGUACUCGACCACAUGCUCGACCACCAGGAGGACAAUGCGAUCGAGUAUGCUGAUGCUGAACCAGAUGAUGUACUCGACCACAUGCUCGACCACCAGGAGGACAAUGUGAUCAAGUAUACUAAUGCACCAAGGAAGUACUCGACCAUGCAGGGAGCUAAGGAGCAUGAAGCACUUGAAACUAAAGAGGAUAUGUCAUUGCAAGUUGCUACUGGACCAAUGACAAGAUCAAAGACUAAGUUGUUGAAUCAAGCUAUCAACACACUUCUACAACACAUUGAAGGCACCCUUAAACCGGAAGCUUGUCCAACCACGUUGGUUGUGAUUCAAGCCGUUUAAGUGACAUCAUUGGAGGUGUGUGACUUGCACUCUUUUUCACUCCUCUUGGUUUUGUCCAAAUGGGUUUUCCAAGAGAGGUUUUUAACGAGGCAAGCUCACACACUCAUAUUCGAGCCCAAUGAUGUCUCGCAGCCCAUUACCAAAGGAGAAGCCCAUGACAAAUUCGAAAUCAGUCUUGUGUGUGUUUAAUUUCGUUUCUUUCCCGAGAAUAACUCUUCAUCUUCCUAGAACUCUCUUCUUCUUCUUUAUAUUUCGUUUCUUCUCCUUUGUAAACGUUAUCAAACAAUUUCUUAUCAAUCAUCUUUUUUGAUUUCGUUUGAUCUUGAGUUUGAGUGUGUAAUAUCUCGAAUUCAUCUUGAGACUGCUCUUGGUGUGUCAUAUCCAAGCAGAAUCAAGUCUGGAAGUUCAAAGGAGUCUCGCAGCCUUUGGAAGUUCUACUCGACCCCUCAACUCCUCUUAUACUCGAUCUCACCUUCAUCAUUUGAUCCAUUCGUUUUCACCAUCACUUGAUCAUUCAAACCAUCAAUCUUCGUCAUACUUGAUCUCACCCUCAUUCACUCGAUCACAAGCCACUCAAACAAUCCAGUUUCACCGUUUCGUUGUUUUUACUCGAUCACACUCCUUUAUCACCACUCGACCAUUCUACUCGACCUCAUCACCAAAGUACUCAACCCCCUCUUCACAAGACUACUCGAUCACCAUCAAUCACACCGUAUUCGAUCCGCCUCCUCACCUACUCGACUCCUUACUCGAUCUCAUCCACUUCACUCUUACUCAUUCCGCAUCAUUUUAACUUGAUCUAUUCAACCACUACACGAAGUGCAUCAAGGGACUAAGAUCUUCUAACUAGGAUCAUAUUAAGUGGUAUCAGAGCCACUUCGUGUCAGGUUGUAUCAAUCUAAACUUUUCAUCUUCUGAUUUGUUCUUGCGAAAUUGUUUCAUCGUUCUAGGCUUGAAUACUUAUCCGAUCUGUAUGAAACUUGUUAAAUCAUUUAGAUCACGUUCUGAACUGUUUAAUUACGUACUCGAUCUAGUAAUUAGGAACAAAACGAUUCGUCUUCCAUGCUUGCUCGAUUAGGGUUCAAUAGAAACUAUUUAGGGUUUUGAAUUUUCAGACUCUAUUGUUUGUUGCUCGAUUUACAAGGAACACUUUACUGGUUUUCUUUGUUUUAAUCAUUGCAGACAUGUCUGAUAAGGACAAGGAAGAAAGCAGUCAGGUACAGAACAACAAGUUGUUGCUGGAAGCUCUUACAGCAACUCUCACAGCUACUCUUACUGCUAACAUGGCAAAAAUGAUGGACGAAAGGUUUGAAGCUAAUGAGAGAUCAACCCAGGGCAGACAGAACAGAGAUACUAGAAAUCCUUCUGAUCAAGAGGCGGCACACAACUAUUACAGCCAAACCUCUACUCGUAACAGCCAUAGAAGGAGAAGACAUCACAGAGAAGAAAGAGCUCUACCUAGAGAUGACCUAGCUAGCUUGAAGAUACGGAUUCCUUCUUUCCAGGGAACCAGUGACCCUGAGGAGUACUUAGAAUGGGAAAAAAAGAUUGAGCUAGUAUUCGGUUGUCAAGGUUAUACAGAGGAGCGUAAAGUGAAACUGGCACCAACAGGGUUCCAGAACUACGCAUUGAGUUGGUGGGAUCAAUUGGUCACCACAAGAAGACGUGCCAGAGAUUACCCAAUUGAGACAUGGACUCAGAUAAAGACUAUAAUGAGGAAGAGAUUCGUGCCCAGCCACUACCACAGAGAGCUACACAAUAGAUUGAGGAACCUAGUCCAAGGAAGUAGAUCAGUUGAAGAAUACUACAAAGAGAUGGAGACAUUGAUGUUGAGAGCAGAUAUUCAAGAGGAUGAAGAAGCUACAAUGUCUAGAUUCAUGGGAGGUCUGAACAGAGAUAUCAUUGACAAAGUAGAAGUUCAACACUACGUGGAACUAGAUGAGCUGCUACACAAAGCAAUCAUGUUUGAGAAGCAACUUAAAAGGAGAAACUCUAACCCUAGCUUUGGAUCAGUCAAGUCCAGUUUUAGUUCAGGAAAGCCUAGCUACCAAAGGGAUGAGCGUUCGGGACUUAAGAGAGACUACAAACCCUUUAUCAAGCCAAAUGUUGAUGAUCAAGAUCAGAAAGGAAAGGGUAAAGCUGUUGUGACCAGAACCAGAGAUAUCAAGUGUUUUAUAAGUGUCAGGGACAUGGUCAUUACGCUAGUGAAUGCUCAAACAAGAGAAUCAUGAUACUGAAAGAUACUGGUGAAAUAGAGUCAGAAGAUGAGCAGCAAGAAGAGAACUCAUCAUCAGAAGACUGUGAAGCGCCAUCUAAAGGAGAGCUGCUGGUUGCCAUGAAGACUUUGAGUGUUAUUGCUAAGACAUGAGCAAGAGCAAAGAGAAAAUCUGUUUCACUCAAGAUGUAUUGUCAAUAACAAGGUCUGUAGCUUAAUCAUAGAUGGAGGAAGCUGCACCAACGUUGCCAGUGAGGCCAUGGUGGAGAAACUUGGUCUAAAGGUCAUGAAGCAUCCGAAGCCAUACAAAUUGCAGUGGCUAAAUGAGGAUAGAGAAAUGAGCGUGAGCAGACAAGUGAAGGUACCAUUGUCUAUUGGAAAGUAUGAGGAUGAAAUUUUGUGUGACAUACUGCCUAUGGACGCUAGUCACAUUCUAUUGGGAAGACCAUGGCAGUCAGACCGAAGAGUAAUGCAUGAUGGCUUCACCAAUCGUCAAAUCUUUGAGUUCAAGGGCAGAAAAACCAUACUGGCUCCAAUGACUCCGCAUGAGGUAUAUCUUGACCAGUUGAGUAUGAAAAUGAGGAGGAAACAAAAGGAAAAAUCAUCUAACCUCAUGAUCACUGAGAGUAAGCAAAGGGGAAGUAAUAUACAUUCAUCUAAAUUACUCUUUGUUUUUAAGGAGACUCUUGUAAGUAUCACUAACCCUGAGCAGGCCAUUCCUAGCAAAAUUAAGUGUCUAUUGCAGGAAUAUACUGAUGUGUUUCCAGAGGAGAACCCUGAAGGCUUACCACCCAUCAGAGGCAUCGAUCAUCAGAUAGAUUUUGUUCCAGGAGCCUCUUUGCCAAACAGACCAGCUUACAGAACUAAUCCUGUGGAGACCAAGGAGCUAGAAAAACAAGUGACUGAGCUAAUGGAGAGAGGCCAUAUUCGUGAGAGUAUGAGUCCCUGUGCUGUACCUGUAUUGCUUGUGCCUAAGAAGGAUGGAAGCUGGAGAAUGUGUGUUGACUGCAGAGCCAUCAACAACAUAACAGUGAAGUAUCGCCAUCCUAUACCUAGAUUAGAUGACAUGUUAGACGAAUUGCAUGGUUCUAGCGUCUUUUCUAAGGUAGAUUUGAAAAGCGGAUAUCAUCAAAUUAGGAUGAAAGAAGGCGAUGAGUGGAAAACUGCAUUUAAGACUAAGAAAGGGUUGUAUGAAUGGUUAGUGAUGCCAUUCGGGCUGACAAAUGCACCUAGUACAUUCAUGAGGCUAAUGAAUCAUGUUCUUAGAGCUUAUAUAGGACAUUUCGUUGUAGUGUACUUUGAUGAUAUCCUAGUCUACAGCAAGAGUCUAGAAGAGCAUGUAGAUCAUCUGAAAAUGGUUCUAGAAGUCCUUAGGAAGGAAAAGCUUUAUGCCAAUCUUAAGAAAUGUACUUUUGGAAUAGAUAACCUUGUCUUCUUAGGUUUUUUUGUGAGUACAGAUGGAGUAAAAGUUGACGAAGAGAAGGUUAAGGCAAUCCGUGAAUGGCCCAGUCCGAAAUCUGUAGGAGAAGUGAGAAGCUUCCAUGGACUUGCUGGCUUCUAUAGGCGGUUUGUAAAGGAUUUUAGCACUCUAGCAGCUCCUCUCACUGAAGUUAUCAAGAAGAAUGUGGGAUUCAAGUGGGAACGAGCUCAAGAGGAUGCUUUCCAGGCCUUGAAAGAGAAGCUUACUAAUGCCCCUGUCUUAUCUCUCCCUGAUUUUAUUAAAACUUUUGAGAUUGAAUGUGAUGCCUCCGGGGUAGGAAUUGGUGCUGUCUUAAUGCAGGAUAAGAAGCCAAUAGCUUAUUUCAGUGAAAAGCUAGGGGGAGCUACUCUCAAUUAUCCUACUUAUGACAAGGAGCUUUACGCUUUGGUUAGAGCACUACAGACAUGGCAGCACUAUCUCUGGCCUAAGGAGUUUAUCAUUCACACAGAUCAUGAGUCCUUAAAGCAUCUCAAAGGAUAACAGAAGCUCAACAAGCGGCAUGCAAGGUGGGUUGAAUUCAUUGAGACCUUUCCCUAUGUCAUCAAAUACAAAAAAAGGUAAGGACAAUGUAGUUGCCGAUGCAUUGUCACGGAGGUAUGUUCUUCUCUCAUCUCUUGAUGCUAAGUUACUCGGGUUUGAGCACAUAAAAUCUCUAUAUGCAAAUGAUUCUGAUUUUGGAAAAAUAUAUUCAUCUUGUGAGAAGUUUGCAUUUGGAAAGUAUUAUAGACAUGACGGGUUCUUGUUUUAUGAUAACCGUUUGUGUGUCCCUAAUUCUUCUUUGAGAGAGCUGUUUGUAAGGGAAGCACACGGUGGAGGUUUAAUGGGACACUUUGGAGUCUCAAAAACUCUUAAAGUCAUGCAAGAUCACUUUCACUGGCCGCAUAUGAAGAGAGAUGUGGAGAAAAUGUGUGGAAGAUGCUCGACAUGUAAACAAGCUAAGGCUAAGUCACAACCCCACGGUUUGUAUACUCCUCUUCCUAUUCCUUUGCAUCCUUGGAAUGAUAUUUCUAUGGACUUUGUAGUAGGUUUGCCAAGGACCAGGACAUGUAAGGAUUCAAUUUUUGUGGUUGUGGAUAGAUUUUCUAAGAUGGCACAUUUUAUUCCAUGUCAUAAAACUGAUGAUGUCAUGCAUAUAGCCAACUUGUUCUUUAGGGAAAUUGUUCGUUUACAUGGCAUGCCUAAGACCAUAGUAUCUGAUAGAGACACUAAGUUUCUUAGUUAUUUCUGGAAAACGCUUUGGUCUAAGCUAGGGACUAAGUUAAUGUUCUCUACUACUUGUCAUCCACAAACUGAUGGGCAAACUGAGGUAGUUAAUAGGACAUUGUCUACACUCCUGCGUGCAUUGAUUAAAAAGAAUUUAAAGACUUGGGAGGACUGUUUACCUCAUGUUGAAUUUGCAUAUAAUCAUUCUAUGCAUUCUGCCUCUAAAUUUUCACCUUUUCAAAUCGUUUAUGGGUUCAAUCCCACUACUCCUUUGGAUUUGAUGCCUUUACCUUUGGAUGAAAGAGUUAGUCUGGAUGGAAAGAAGAAGGCAGAAUUGGUUCAACAGAUUCAUGAGCAGGCUAAGAAGAACAUUGAAGAGAAGACGAAGCAGUACAUCAAACAUGCUAACAAGAGCAGAAAGGAGUUCAUCUUCAACGAAGGAGACUUGGUUUGGAUCCAUCUUCGAAAAGAACGUUUUCCUAAGGAGAGGAAAUCUAAGCUUAUGCCAAGGAUAGACGGACCAUUCAAAGUGCUCAAGAGGAUCAACAACAAUGCAUACUCCCUGAAUUUGCAAGGUAAGUACAAUGUGAGUAAUAGCUUCAAUGUUGCUGACCUUAUCCCUUUUAUUACAGAUAAUACAGAUUUGAGGUCAAAUCCUUCUCAACUGGGAGAGGAUGAUGUGAUCAUGGGAAGCUUGGGUCAAGGAACUAAGGAACAACUUGAACCAGAGGAGGUACUCGACCACAUGCUCGACCACCAGGAGGACAAUGCGAUCGAGUAUGCUGAUGCUGAACCAGAUGAUGUACUCGACCACAUGCUCGACCACCAGGAGGACAAUGUGAUCGAGUAUCCUAAUGCACCAAGGAAGUACUCGACCAUGCAGGGAGCUAAGGAGCAUGAAGCACUUGGAACUAAAGAGGAUAUGUCAUUGCAAGUUGCUACUGGACCAAUGACAAGAUCAAAGACUAAGUUGUUGAAUCAAUCUAUCAACACACUUCUACAACACAUUGAAGGCAGCCUUAAACCGGAAGCUUGUCCAACCACAUUGGUUGUGAUUCAAGCCGUUUAAGUGACAUCAUUGGAGGUGUGUGACUUGCACUCUUUUUCCCUCCUCUUGGUUUUGUCCCAAUGGGUUUUCCAAGAGAGGUUUUUAACGAGGCAAGCUCACACACUCAUACUCGAGCCCAAUGAUGUCUCGCAGCCCAUUACCAAAGGAGAAGCCCAUGAUAAAUUCGAAAUCAAUCUUGUGUGUGUUUAAUGUCGUUUCUUUCCCGAGAAUAACUCUUCAUCUUCCUAGAACUCUCUUCUUCUUCUUUAUAUUUCGCUUCUUCUCCUUUGUAAACGUUAUCAAACAAUUUCUUAUCAAUCAUCUUUUCUGAUUUCGUUUGAUCUUGAGUUUGAGUGUGUAAUAUCUCGAAUUCAUCUUGAGACUGCUCUUGGUGUGUCAUAUCCAAGCAGAAUCAAGUCUGGAAGUUCAAAGGAGUCUCGCAGCCUUUGGAAGUUCUACUCGACCCCUCAACUCCUCUUAUACUCGAUCUCACCUUCAUCAUUCGAUCCAUUCGUUUUCACCAUCACUUGAUCAUUCAAACCAUCAAUCUUUGUCAUACUCGAUCUCACCCUCAUUCACUCGAUCACAAGCCACUCAAACAAUCCCGUUUCACCGUUUCGUUGUUUUUACUCGAUCACAUCUUCCACUUCACCACCAAAAUCCACUCGAUCACACUCCUUUAUCACCACUCGACCAUUCUACUCGACCUCAUCACCAAAGUACUCAACCCCCUAUUCACAAGACUACUCGAUCACCAUCAAUCACACCGUAUUCGAUCCGCCUCCUCACCUACUCGACUCCUUACUCGAUCUCAUCCACUUCACUCUUACUCAUUCCGCAUCAUUUUAACUUGAUAUAUUCAACCACUACACGAAGUGCAUCAAGGGACUAAGAUCUUCUAACUAGGAUCAUAUUAGAAACGCCCUGGCUCACUCCUAGACCGCUUUUGAGAAGAUUAGACCCAAGAUUGAAGAACAAAACAGUAAAGAAACCUAGAUCUGAGAACUGAAAAUCGUCUUCACGAGAGAGAAAUACACGACUUACGAGGCAACGAUUGUGCCUUCCAUCAAGAAAUUUUUUUUGACUUCUUAAUUUGAACUUUUUAAUAUAUUUUAAGGAAAUAUGGGCCUUUUAUCAAGCAUUUUUUGGCAAUUUAUGUUUUUUUCUAAAAUAUCUGAACUUUUGGUCUUAAAAAUAUAUUAAAAAAUCUAAACUAAAAAGUCCAAACUUUUCUAUUUUAUGUUCAACGAUUUGGAAGUCGAGGGUGUCAGGUUCGUAAAAAAAUCGUUUCUAUUGAAUGCACACAUUGUGUUGAUGAAGAAAGGAUGACUAUGAACUUUCUAUAUAUUGUUUUGACUUUUUGAAAAAGAGAAAGUGAAGUCCAAAUUAAUCAACAUUUCAGUAGUGUAUAUCGGUUGCUGCUAAGCUUAAAUUCGUUGUACUUGUUGAUUUGAUAUUCUUACAAGAAACUUAAAUUUGUGUUUAUAAGGAAUUAUAAUCAACAGUAGACCAAAAUCGUCAACACCGGCUCGCAUGGCACAAAUUUGAUGUGCAACGUCAGAAAUUUGCAUAUAAUACGUUCCUCGGAUUGCUAUCGGUUUUCGUGUUUUUCCUAUAUGAAAUAAUUGGUUAGCUAUAUAUAUCAUGAGUAAUGGCAAGAUUUUUCGUUUAAUAUGUUAAAUCAAAGCCUUCGCGAUAAUCCUACAAAUAUUAUGUCAAAUCAAAUUUCUCGUGAUGAAGAGUUCAAUUCUAAUUUUAAAAUUUUUAAAAACUAAUGUAUGUGACCGGAAAAACGUUUACAAGAUACAUAUACGGGUUAUAUUGCGUAUUAUUUUGGAUAUCGUAAGAUUAAUCUGUAUUUUUCGGAGAUGAAGGAUAAAGUUGCAAAAAUGGCAAGUUGAAAUGUCUUUUUGCAAAAAACCCUUAAAAAUCAUGUUUUUUUUCUGUAUUCGUUAUUAAUAAUUACUUUUUCAUCAUAUAAAUGUUUUUAUUAUAACACUUAACCGCAAAAGUUGAAGUAAUAUGCAUUGGUGACAUAAAUAUUCAAACUAGAAAAAUUCAAUUCCUUUCAGCAUGCACUUCUAUGUUCCUAAAUACUGAGUAUUACUGAUUUUAAUGUUUUGAUUCCUUCUGCUUGAUCAAUUCCUAUUAGUAUAACUGAAAUUUACUGAAAUUGUUGGUAUUGAAAACCUGUAAAUGUAAAUGUACCAAAAAAGUGAAAAAAUAAAAUGAAAUUUUAUCUCGAUAUCAGUUCGUUCAAAAUGCUUAAAGAGCUACUAAUAUUGGUCUUGGCCUCCUCUUACUAAUAUAAUUAACUACUAAACUCUAUUCAAGUUUCUGGACAUUAAUUGUCUGAAAUUAUGGAUUCGAACGUUAAAAUGUUUAAUAGAGAGAACAGUAACAUGGUGGUUCAAGAGGGUUUUGAUUGUUUGUUGAUUUGCACAGAUUCGUUUGCUCCUAAUACUCGAAUCAUUACGAAGAAAUUCAGCUAACAACAAUAUUAUAGAAAGACAAUCAUUAUGUUUUCACUCAUACUUUUUUUCUUCUAUAAGAAUAAUUUACUUAAGUUAUCAUAUUACCUAAUUUUUAUUUUCACAGUAAGAAAAUUUACAUUCUUCUCACUUAUAAUAAUUAAUGGACUAUCCUUCUUCCCUAAACUCUUUUCAUCUUUUUUUUUUUUUUGAAUACCAGGAGGUUCCGGACCAAAGUCCGUAAUCCCCCCAGGCCCAAAAACACAGCAUAUAAUAUUAGUUUCGUCCCAAACGUCACUCGAACCGGCGACCUCUAAGCUUUGCCUAAGAUUUUUACCAGUUAAGCUAACGACACUUGGUACUCUUUUCAUUUUUCAUUGAUCUCUUUCCCACUUAUCAUUUUUUUGCCACUCACCUCUUAUUCCUAUAAACGUCUAUAAUCGAAACUUAUUUGCAUCUAUUGUAUUCGAAAACAUAUUUCAAGGAUUCUGGUGGCAUGCCAUCAUAAGAUCAUUACAAAAACGAAAGUGUCAACUAUUAAGUAUUCUUUAGUUUCCAAUAAAUAUGUUAUCUCUAAUAUAUUUAACAGUGGAAGUGGGUGUCAUUGACCUUUAAUUGUCAAAUUAAAUCAGAGUCAUGAUGAGAUUGGAAUCAUUUGCUGAGAAAAAACAAGAAAAUUGAAUCCUCGAAAGAAUGUUUAUUUUGAGCCAAAGGUUGUCUAUAUUUGUUAAUGAUCAACCACCCAAGAUUUGUUUAUCUAUUUCCAUAAUUAUACAACUAUGAUGCCGUUUCCCAAUUUGUGGCUUCUCACAUCAUUGUCUCUCAGCAGGUGUGUUGUGACUUCUCUUGGCUUAUCCCUACACCAAUUAUUAUUAUGCUCCUCUGUUUUUUUUCAAAACUAAAAGCAAAAUAUAAGAGCAAUAUUUUCCCAUAUUUUUAAGAGAUCAAUAAUAUUGAAUUUCUAACUGUGAUUACUGAUUAGUGAUUACCAAAUGAAUAAAAGGAACAGACAAAUUUAUUAUAAUUAAUAAUACAAAUAACAGGAAGAUAGAAUAAAAGCUAAUAUGAUAAGCUUUAAUGUUGGUCUAAAUAAAUAUAAAUUUUUUAUAUCACUUCUUUGUUAUAGACUUUUAGUUAAACUUGGUUGUUGAAAAGCUUUCUUCAAAAAGUUUUUUAAAGAUAAGAUACACACACUGACACACACACUGGGUCAUUGCCUAAAAUCUUUUUUUUUUUUUUUUUUUAUAUCCAAGCGUGCUUAUUUAUGAACCAAAAAUAAAUAAAAUUAACUAAGUCACGUCAAAUAUAUUCCAUGUUUUAAAUGCUUUUUUUUUUUUUUUUUUUUUUGACAAUUUUGGAUCAACAAAAUCCGAUCCAUAGUCAAUCCUUACUACGCGGGUGAUAUAUCACGGAUUUUACUGGUUUUUAACCGUAAUUUACGUGUCACUUUUAGAGUUUUUUUUGUUGUUUCUAGUGUUUUUUUGAGUCUUUUCAGGUUUUUUGCACGAUCGGGACGAAAUUAGAGAAAAUGAAUCAUUCUGGAGCUAAACCGAAGAUUUGGAGCUGAAGAGACGAAUCCGGUUCGAACCAAGACAUUGGUGUCGACCGACACCCUUGGUGUCGCUCGACACCAUACGCGUCCCAGCAAGAACUCUCGACGGUUCAGAGUUUUAAAGCCCGCAGAAUUUACCCAGAAGAUUUCCCUAUUUGCAAUUUUGGUCCCUGCACGUUUUUGCGACAUCAUAAAUUGUUUUUAGGGUUUUUCUAUUUCAUUAUCUUGUCUUUGGCUUUGGUAAUCUUCUGAGUUUAAACCCUUUGGAAGAUAAUUGGAGAGACCAACUUUUCAGAGAUUCAAUACCUUGUUAGAGAGAAGAUUCAUUCUAAACUCUUUCUCUUUUUUAAUUUCUUAUUUUGCAAUUUAUUCAACAUGUUUUCUAUUUCAUUAAUCAUGUCUGAGUAAUCACCCUGUUAGGUUUAGGGAUUCUCAUUAGGGAUUUAGAUGAAUUAGUAAAUUGAUUACUUGUUAGGAUUAAUCUAUAGAGUUCUUCAUCUAGGUUGUUCUUAAUGCUUGUUCUAGAGUAGCUAACUAGAACCUGAAUUUAGGAUAAUAGGUAUUUGAUCCGAGAGGACACCUAUUACUGGAAUUACCUUAGAUGGGCCUGGUUUAUAGGUGUGUAAUAAGAAUCGGCCUAUCUACUAAAGUGAACAUAUCAAACCUGAAUUUAAUGCUAGUACUAGAUCUAGGAAUUCGCGUCGAGAGGUGGAAUUACUGAUAUUAGACUUGUUAGUUAGCGCAUCGAGAGGUGGUUAAUUAGUCAUUAGUGUUUUGAGUUCUAGAACGGUUCAGUAAAUAAUCCGAAUCAAUUUGCUAGAUGUACUAAUAGUUUAUUUCCUGAGAAUUUCUCUAAACCUAACGUUUUAAUUCAUUUAUCUUUUCACCUGAAAUCAUUGCUUGCUUUUGUUUUAUUUUAAUUCUAAUUAUCUUAUUUAGAAUAAUUUCGAAACUUAUAACUCAUUGUGUGAACAAAAAACUUUGUGGAAUUCGACCCCUAAGUGCUGCAAUUGACCUCUUAAUUUGAGAGAGUAGGCUUUAGGAUCAUUUUGACCUGUAUCAGCGGGAUAACGCGAUUUAGUGGAGUCGAACUCAUAUGUGGAAGAUGUAGUCAAAUGGACUUAACCACUUGACUAAAGGCACAUCCCCAAAAGCGUUUAUACUUAACAGAGUAACAAAAGUAAAUCUUUACAAAACAAACAUACCUACCAAUUUUUAGAUAACAAGUAUUUAAUUAUUGGGGGCAAUUUGUUACAUUCACAAAUUGGUGAACGUAAACGCAACAUAUGGAGUAAGAUUUGUAUAAGAGCAGAUUAUUGUCAUAAAUAUACAUUUUUGGAUUUUUAUAAAAAAAAUACUUGAACAAAUCAUUUAGCUUAGUUUAUAAUAAUCAUAUCAUAGUACUUAUGUUUACAGUUACACCUUUAAUUUUUUUUUUAAAACAUUAUUAGAAAUGUCGUCAAAAAAAUUACGUCGCAUUUAAACACAUAAAAUAAUGUUUAAAUGCUGCUUUAGUUGUUCUUUUUAAAUAAAAUUAACGAUAUUUUCAAUUCUGUUAUUAAUUAAAAUAAAAUUUUACAACUAGACUUGGAAACUAAUAUAAAAAUGUAAUAUGAUUUUUCUCUUUUAUUAUUGGUUGAACUGAAUAUAUGUGAAAACUCCUUAAAUGAAUGAGCAUAGUAUAUAAGUAGACAUAAAUAGUUUGAAGUAUGGUGAAAAAAAAGAACACUGCGUUGAGAAAAACCUUAGUGAAUACAAUACACAUUACAUUGUUCCAACUUCAAAACAAAGGCACUCUUAAACAAAACACAUAUAAUGAGAUAAUAAUACAAAAUCUCUUAAAACAUCAAACUUGCCAACCAAACAAAACCACCAUAUAGGAUAUUACUACUUAGUUAGGCGGCUUGAAGAACUUGAGCUUAAGUCCAUUGGUAACCAUACUCCAAAUCCCACCUAUGGAGAAUGCCAAGCUGAAUGCAACUCCCAACCAACCUAAUCCCCAGUGGAAAUACCAAUUGAAACUGUAUUUCGCCGGUUUCUUAAUCAAGACCCACAUGAAGCAAGGAUAAGCAAAUGUGACCGGGAGCGUGAGUCCACCGAGUAAACCCGCGAGACUAGAUAGGAAAGGGAGAGCAACACCGAUGAAAAACGAGACGAAACCGAAAAAGACUCGGAAACCUGAUCUGACCCAGAUCGAACACGGCUUGUUGGUUCUGCUUGUGUAGCCAGCCUCAAAGCUGUCAAAAGCCGGCAUAGAGUAUAUCUGAAAACUGCUCAGACAGCUGAAGACUACUAGGAGAAAUGCCGUCGCUAAUAAGCCUCUCGGAAUGUCGUGAAUGUGGAAUGCAUAUAAAGCAGCAAGCAUACCUCCUGAAGGCAUCUGUAAGACCAAGAAUAAUUUACAUAAACCAAUCGGAAACCGAGUCAAAGAUCAGGAAAUAAACUAUUUUGGUUUCUUAAAAUAUAAAUUCUUUGAUACAUUUUGCUUAAAAAUCCUAGGCCAAACCAUAAAUAAAUGAUAUUAGUGUUCCAUUCGGAUUCUAUAUUUCACAAACAUGAACAAAACACCAGAUUAAACAUCCUUUAUUGACAAGACAUAGACCAAGGAUAUAGUAAAUGGAACUUACAAGGUUCCCAUAAGCCCAAAAGCCUCCAAUGGAGAUUGGAAAGAUACACAGAGCAAUGAAGAAGUAAGAAAUUUUCGCUCCUCUCCACAUUGGUACAUGAGCUGGAUGCUUAAACGUUGAUGGCAUCGUCGACUACAAAGUGUUCAAAACUCAGAAUAAGUCACAAGUGACAAGUCAACAUGUGCAUUAUCUAUAGACAGAAACAUUUUGCAUUUUUACCUGAAUUUCCAGAACCAAGUUGUGACCUCUGAAGGCAAAAGCUAUAAUGCCAAGAGCAUUCAAAACAGCGAAGAGUGAACCAGAAGUCGAAGGCAUAGAAAGAGGCUCGUAUGAGAUAGUGGCUGGUCUUGGUUGGCUCACAGAGAGAACCCAAACCAUUGUGGAGUAAGUUAUUGCAGUCACUGCUCCUAUUAAGGAGAGUCCCGCAAUCGAAUUGAGGUUUGGAAGCUGAGACAGAACGAUGCACAGAGAUGUAAACACCAAAUACCAUUCGACUGUUGUUAACGGGUUCGAGGUGCAUAAUGGACCGCAAACUAUUUGGAAGAAGAGUUUCAUUGUCUCUCCACCAAUCAGAAUCAGCGCUGUCGCGGUUCCUGCUGAUAAGUAAACCGUAGGAAACAGUGCAAGCCAAACUCCCAACCUUUCUCCUGUUCCAAUCAAGAGUCCAAGACUUUAGCAAUAGCAGGACACAAAGUUAGUAUCAAUGAAACAAUUUCUUAUAACUCAAUUUGUUAUUUAUCUUCUUACCAAAUGCAGCUUGUGCAAGCUCGACAUAUCGAUUGUAGCGCUUCCCGGGGACAGCUUCGUGCAACUGAACUAGAAUCCACAGUGUGUAGAGUUGCCAACAAUAAGCUAUUGUCAAGGAUAGUAUUCCCCAACUCCUGUAACAACAAUAAUUCACUUCUUAAAUAACAAUCUUAAUUACUUGAUCGCAAUAACAAAUAUCCAUAACUAAGCUAAGCCAUUGAACUAACCAAUAAAAAUUCUCAACCUUAAAGCUGUAACAACUUAUUAUUUUAUUUUUUUGUCACCAAAACUAUAACAAGUUAUACUUCAAAUGUUUAAACUUGCAACAAUAAUGCAUAACGUUUUAUCCUUUUUGACUGUCAAUUACAUUAGUACCUACUAUAUACCAGAAAAAAGAAGAAUAAAUUAUAUAAUAAAUGUAAAUUUGCCGGAAAUUAACAAGAAACAAAAUAGACGAUAAAGAAGGCUCUGUCUUAAUCCAAAUUAAAGCAAAAAGUAUGUCUGUGAGUAUCCACAUGAGUAAUGAUGGAAGCAUGACAAAUUAAAGAAAAUAAGAAAACCAAAAUCUCUACUGCAAGAAUCUCAAUGUUUCCAAAGUUAAAAAAAAGUGAAUUAGUCAAUAUAUUAUUAUUUCCGACAAGAAAAAGAAAAAACAUUUUUGAUUUUUGCCCAAAAAUGUAAAGUAAACCCUGAAAUUGGAUCUGAACACUACAGAGAGUUGAACCCUCGCCGUUCACUAAUAAAAAAUAAUCUUGAAAAAAAGACUAAACACAAACUUCAAGAAAAAAACUCAAAAACAAGAAAAAUAUUUAUUGGAAAAAUCAAGAAAAACGCAAACGCACCAGCCAAGAAACGCAAACGCGACGGGAAGAACAAGGGCUUGGAAACCAACACCAGCGUUUAGAUUGUGAAACGCAGCGUAAUGAGCGUUUCCAUUACGAGACUCAGUGAUUGGAAGCCAAGCAUCUUGUGGGUUUAGCUUAGUAAGAUGACCAACUUCUUCAAGAUACCCUUUCAUGUUCACAAGAACUCGUUUCAUCGGUGUACCAAUCGGACUCAAGAACCUCGGAGAUAUGAAAGAAGUCGGAGUCCAUGUCGCCGACGAUGGUUUGGUGGCCGGACGAGGUGAUCUUUGACCGGAGGGAGUUAGAAUCUCCGGUGUUGAAACUCGUGGUGUCGCUGGUAUUGAUAUUAGCUCUGUCUCGGGUCUUUCGUCCAUUGGAGCAGGUGAAGAGUGCGAGAAGAAAUGAUGUUUUUUUUUUCUAAACUAUCACUCUCUCACUCACUCCCUAUUUAGAGGGGAUUGUUUUUAUUUUUAGGAUAACUUUAUUGGUAUUGAAACAAAUUUUUAUUUAAUUACAAAAAGAUGACAGAUUAAAACUAACGAAAUUACAAUUAAAUGACAAUGAAAGUUGAUAAUUAAAGAACAUGACAUGAUUAUUUAUAAUGGUGUAAAACAGUAACAAUUUUUUUGUAACAUUAGGACAAAAGUAACCUCUGCAUCAAUACAAAAGUUCUGAGCAUAUGUUUGUUUGACCAAUAAGUAUUAUGAUGGUGAGAUCAAAAUUUUGAACAUUAUGACCAACUUGUUUAUUCCUUUAGCAAAAAAUUGACAUGAAAAUAGGUGUUGAUGAUGACAAUUGUAACGCCCCGACCACCCUAUCAGUGAACAUCCACAUCCUCUCUCGGGCUUGUGGGCCCACGUCUGUCCGACAGUCGGUCCGCUAUGUCCGGUAGGCUUAAUGACUUGUUUACUGGACAAUGGACAUCUAAAAAAAUGUUUGGAUGAUUGAAGGUUUAGCGGACAUCUAAAAAAAUAGAUUAGGAGUUAGCUAUAUCUUCGUUUUUAUAAUGAGUAAAUAAAUACAAGUAUGAAAAAUAAAUUGAUCCACAUAAUUGUAAUAAGGUUCGGUCGUUCAACCUACAUUCAUGUAAUUGGAACUCGUCCAAAAGACAAAACAACUAGAAACAAAAAGCAAUCACACAAUUGCACACGCAUUUCAAGUCCAUCUCUUCCGAUAUACCAUUAUUUUCUAUGCGUGGACUCUUCAUAGUCAUACUAACUCUAAACUGAACUCUAUCCAAACCUAGAUUUUAGUCAUGCAGAACUCCGUAACACCGGAAACUCCGACGUAUAACCGUCUAACACCGACAGCCUCAAACUUCUCACAAUGUCUAUACAUAUAUUUUAUAAUACACUCUAGUGUGACAUUGACAUCAUGGUUUGACAUUUUUCUGUUCUGGUCGGUGUAAGACCAUCAGCAAUGGCAAAUGUGUUUGUGUGGAUGUAAGUAUUUUUUUAGUAUUAUAAUUUAAAGCAAAAGAGAAAAGAGAAAGAGAAAGAAAGAGAGAGAUAGAGAAAAAAAGUGUUACACCCGAGUAUAAACUUACACCCGGGUGUGAAGAGAGAGACAAUUUUUUUGUUUUUUUUAAUACUUACACCCCAAGACUCACACCCACCUGCUUACCCACUGCCACGCUCUAAGUCUUCAAAGUUCAAACAAUGGUCUCUUCCUAUUUAUAAUCAAGAGGCCUAAUAAAAAAACAGGCAACAACCAUUAUACAUGUUUUUUUUUGUCUUAAUUUCCAAAAAUUUCUUUUAUAAUCUAAUGUUCAUAGCUUCUUCUUCUCUCUAAAAAGAACAGCAGCCGCCGUGGUUUAGGGUUACGGUUCCGGUGGCUUUUUCAGCACCGGAACCGGGGUCUUUGUUUUUUCUUUGCUUUAGUUAUGUUUUAUCUUCCUUUCCAUCAUGUCUAAAUCCUUUUCUUCCAACGGUUUCAGAUUUAGAUUUUCAGAUCUAGAAUUAUAAAGUCUAAAUCUUUUCUCCUUUGAGUUUUGCUGCUUGUUUUAGUCUAUUUCAAUUGCAGCUUCAGUUCUGGCCGAUUCAACCAUGGCAGAGGCAGGUUCUAUUCGAUCCUUCACCGCCUUAGAUGUAGUUUUCUCACCUUCCAAGUUCUUGAUCUCCUUCCUUUCUUCAUGAGACUUUUCCUUUAGGUCUCGGGGUGUUGUUUUGUCUCACCGCCGUUCGUGGUAAGGAGAGUCUUGGAUUCAUUUCCGUUUGUGGGUUUCUUUGUCUCAGAUCUGGUUCUUUAUUUUCGAUUUAGACUUUGUAAUUUUAUUUUUGAGUCUUUGGAUCAUGAGUCUGGGAAGUUUUGGUUCAUAUGUGGUGUUUUUACUUGUUUUGGGUUUUUUCCCCUUUGGUUUUCCGUCAUUGUCUCCGGGAGUUUUCAUUUGCUCGCCGGCUUAGUUUCUGGAAGGAUUGUGUUCCUUGCCGGCUUUUGUAAUCCACCCUUUGUAAUCCAGCAGUGUAUUUCUAUCAAUGAAAUCUUUAUUUUCAGUGAAAAAAAAAAAAAAAAAUCUAAUGUGCAUAGCUUCAUUUUUCCAUGGUCCACUUAUUGGCCAUUUUGCUCAUAUCAUAUUCACGUGAUCAUCACUCAUUCUGGCUUCAUUAUCUCUACAUCACACAAAUGUUGUGUUAUGCUCUAAGUUAACUUCUUAUCUUAUCAACAAUUAAUUAAAACAGAAUCAAGAAGACUUCAGCAUCGUGGACUAUGAUGAUUCCUAGUGGUUCAGAAAAGUCAUCCGAAAGAGAUAAAAUGAAGUAGUGGAAUAUGAAUUAAAUGGUAGAUAGAGAGAAAAACAGUAUGGAGAGUAGAAAAAUCAUGAAAAAUAAGCUCUCUCUUCCUUAUUCCACCAACUUAGCUUACAUAACUAAUUUCGACACUUAUAGCGCAUUUGAUAUUGCAUGAUUUGGGUUAAGAAAACAUUCUUUUAGAUCCAGCUAAAUUCAAUAAUUCUCCUAAAAUGGAUUAUAAAACAUUCUUUUAGAUCCAGCUAAAUUCAAAUUCUCCUAAAAUCAUUUAGACAGAAAAAUAAAUUUUGUUAAAUCAAGCUAGAUUAAAAACAAAUUAUAACACCAGCUGAUACAUAAAUAUGUUUAGUUUAGAUAAAAUAGAUAUGAUAUGGUAAUUUGGAUAUAUAAAUAACAAUCCAAACGAAUAAAACUCAGGUUUGUGUUCGGGUAUUUCAGAUAAUUACGAAUCUGAAUAUAGAAAUCUUGUUUUUAGAAACUUUCUAUAAUUUUCAAAAUCUUUAAAUUUCUAUAUUUUAUUGCUUUAGGAACCUAGGUCAGAUUUGAGUUCAGAUAUUUUAAUUCUAACAUUUUCAAGUGUAUAUAGUAAUUAUAAGGGAGAUUUGGAAGGUUACAAUAACACUUCUGGAUUUAUGUUUCUAAUGGCUUGAAUAUAUGUCUCAUGGAAUUUAAGAAAACAAAAAUUGGUUGAAUUGUCAAUUACAUUAGCAAGAUAUGAUUGUGUAAUG
Molecule: long non-coding RNA, 41263 nt
Filed under: Arabidopsis lyrata
Lineage: Eukaryota; Viridiplantae; Streptophyta; Magnoliopsida; Brassicales; Brassicaceae
Description: long non-coding RNA (ALYR_LNC003263)
Source: RNAcentral